This 1259-nucleotide ribosomal RNA is filed under the name uncultured bacterium. Its description in RNAcentral is "bacterial SSU rRNA". It matches the Rfam family "Bacterial small subunit ribosomal RNA", at positions 1 to 1272 of the family's 1533-position model. The record is from RNAcentral.
GGGAGUUCGACGGCAGUGAUUAGAGUUUGAUCAUGGCUCAGGAUGAACGCUGGCGGCGUGCCUAAUACAUGCAAGUCGAACGAGGUAGCAAUACCGAGUGGCGAACGGGUGAGUAACACGUAGGUAACCUGCCCUUAAGCUUGGGAUACCCAGAGGAAACUUUGGCUAAUACCGGAUAACAACAGAGAAGGCAUCUUCUUUGCUUGAAAGGCCCCUUCAAGGGUCACUUAAGGAUGGACCUGCGGCGCAUUAGCUAGUUGGUGAGAUAACAGCCCACCAAGGCGAGGAUGCGUAGCCGAACUGAGAGGUUGAUCGGCCACAUUGGAACUGAGACACGGUCCAAACUCCUACGGGAGGCAGCAGUAAGGAGUUUUCGGCAAUGGGGGAAACCCUGACCGAGCAACGCCGCGUGAGCGAUGACGGUCCUUUGGAUUGUAAAGCUCUGUUGUAAGCCAUGAAUGAUAGCUUUAGGAAAUGAAAGCUAUUUGACGACAGCUUACCAGAAAGCCACGGCUAACUACGUGCCAGCAGCCGCGGUAAUACGUAGGUGGCAAGCGUUAUCCGGAAUUAUUGGGCGUAAAGAGUGAGCAGGCGGUUAAUUAAGUCUGAGGUUAAAGCGUGGGGCUCAACCCCAUAAAGCCUUGGAAACUGAUUGACUAGAGUACGGGAGAAGUGAAGGGAACUCCAUGUGUAGCGGUGAAAUGCGUAGAUAUAUGGAAGAACACCAGUGGCGAAGGCGCUUCACUAGCCCGAAACUGACGCUCAGUCACGAAAGCGUGGGUAGCAAAUAGGAUUAGAUACCCUAGUAGUCCACGCCGUAAACGAUGACAACUAAAUAUUGCCGCGAGGCAGUGUUGAAGCUAACGCAUUAAGUUGUCCGCCUGGGGAGUACGGUCGCAAGACUGAACUUAAGGAUUGACGGGGACCCGCACAAGCAGUGGAGCAUGUGGUUUAAUUCGACGCAACGCGAAGAACCUUACCAGGCUUGACAUAUUGGAUUACUACCCUCUAGAGAUUAGAGGAGACUAUAAAUACAGGGGGUGCAUGGUUGUCGUCAGCUCGUGUCGUGAGAUGUUGGGGUUAAGUUCCCGCCAACGAGCGCAACCCCGUCCUAGUGGCCAUCAUCAGUUGGGAGCUCUAGGAUACUUCUCGAUGUAAGUUCGAGAAAGUUGAUUACUCAUCAUCUAUGGCUUUGUCUGGCGCACACGUGUCUUAAUUGGCGGUCAAGGAGCGCGAAUCUCUUGUGAGGAGAGACAAAU